RNAcentral lists this ribosomal RNA (492 nucleotides) under uncultured bacterium. RNAcentral describes it as "partial 16S ribosomal RNA". It matches the Rfam family "Bacterial small subunit ribosomal RNA", at positions 29 to 507 of the family's 1533-position model. The record is from RNAcentral.
AGUGAACGCUGGCGGUAGGCCUAACACAUGCAAGUCGAACGGCAACACAGUAAUAGCUUGCUCUUACGGAUGGCGAGUGGCGGACGGGUGAGGAAUACAUCGGCAUCUACUUUUCCGUGGGUGCUCACGUAGGUAACCUUACGCUACUAACGCUUAUACCCUACGGGACAAAGAAGGGAAUCUUCGUAAUUUGCGCGAUUGUAUGAGCCGAUGUCGGACUAGCUAGUUGGCGGGUUGAAGGCCAACCAAGACGACGAUCCGUAGAUGGUCAGAGAGGAUGAGAAGAGACACUGGAACGGAGACGCGGUCCAGACGCCUACGGGAGGCACCAGGCGGGAAUAUUGGACAAUGGGCGCAAGCCUGAUCCAGGCAUACCGGGUGGGUGAAGAAGGCCGUCGGGUUGUAAAGCCCUUUUGGUGGGAAAGAAAAGCAGCAGGUUAAUACCCCGCUGUCCUGACGGUACCCAAAGAAUAAGCACCGGCUAACUUCGUG